Molecule: transfer RNA, 83 nt
Filed under: compost metagenome
Description: tRNA-Thr
Source: RNAcentral
CGCCGUGAUGGGGCUGUCUUCGCCAAAGCGGGCCUGGUAGGCCCGCGAGAAGCGCCGGCUGGGUUCGGUGUCCAGCGUGGCGA